GAUGAACGCUGGCGGCGUGCCUAAUACAUGCAAGUCGAGCGAACAGACGAGGAGCUUGCUCCUCUGACGUUAGCGGCGGACGGGUGAGUAACACGUGGAUAACCUACCUAUAAGACUGGGAUAACUUCGGGAAACCGGAGCUAAUACCGGAUAAUAUAUUGAACCGCAUGGUUCAAUAGUGAAAGACGGUUUUGCUGUCACUUAUAGAUGGAUCCGCGCCGCAUUAGCUAGUUGGUAAGGUAACGGCUUACCAAGGCAACGAUGCGUAGCCGACCUGAGAGGGUGAUCGGCCACACUGGAACUGAGACACGGUCCAGAAUCCUACGGGAGGCAGCAGUAGGGAAGCUUCCGCAAUGGGCGAAAGCCUGACGGAGCAACGCCGCGUGAGUGAUGAAGGUCUUCGGAUCGUAAAACUCUGUUAUUAGGGAAGAACAAAUGUGUAAGUAACUAUGCACGUCUUGACGGUACCUAAUCAGAAAGCCACGGCUAACUACGUG
This 497-nucleotide ribosomal RNA is filed under the name uncultured bacterium. RNAcentral describes it as "partial 16S ribosomal RNA". It matches the Rfam family "Bacterial small subunit ribosomal RNA", at positions 28 to 507 of the family's 1533-position model. The record is from RNAcentral.